UCCCUGGUGGCUUAGAGGGUAAAGCGUCUGCCUGCAAUGCAGGAGACGGAUUCAAUCCCUGGGUU
RNAcentral lists this transfer RNA (65 nucleotides) under Bos taurus (domestic cattle). It matches the Rfam family "tRNA". From Rfam's summary of the family: Transfer RNA (tRNA) molecules are approximately 80 nucleotides in length. Their secondary structure includes four short double-helical elements and three loops (D, anti-codon, and T loops). Lineage: Eukaryota; Metazoa; Chordata; Mammalia; Artiodactyla; Bovidae. RNAcentral also lists the same sequence under 4 other names. The record is from Rfam by way of RNAcentral.